RNAcentral lists this long non-coding RNA (553 nucleotides) under Trifolium pratense (red clover). RNAcentral's name for it is "long non-coding RNA (TPRA_LNC006647)". The record is from RNAcentral. Lineage: Eukaryota; Viridiplantae; Streptophyta; Magnoliopsida; Fabales; Fabaceae.
GAUGACGAAAAAAGAUGAUAAAAUUAGAAAUAAGUAUAUUUAAAUUCCUUUUGACCUGUAUCGGAAAAAAUGAAAAAAAUCCUUUUGACCAAAUCGCUAAAAUCUGAACGACACCACCAACACGACCAACAUGAACGGUUCUAAAUCCUUUUGUUCUUCUUGUUUCUUCAUUUAUAGCACCAAAUUUCUUCAUUACUGUUCAUUUCUAUUGCAACUACUAUAACUAGAGAGAUCCCAUAUGAUAUGAUUCACCUUGUACUAAUGGACAAUCUUAACUUGUUCAUUGCCACUGUAACAUGUGUUUGUUAAUCAUGCUGCUUAACAGCUUAAGCUCCAUCUUGUUGGGAGAUCCGAACCAGAAAAAACAAGAAACAAAGAAAUUUGGUAUUGAUGUUGUAAAUUUUGUUAUGGAAGAAGAAGAGAAGAUUUUGAUUGCAGAUUUACUGUAAGGUGUCUUUUGUCUUUUACUUCUCAUCCAUUGAAUUGAUCUAAUGGCUAAAAUUUGGAGAAGGAGAGAGAAGGAGACAAAUGGAGAAGGAGAGGAUCCAAUCCC